Non-coding RNA from Biomphalaria pfeifferi, 276 nucleotides. The record is from the annotation of a GenBank genome assembly. Lineage: Eukaryota; Metazoa; Mollusca; Gastropoda; Planorbidae.
AGUUACUCGUUUAUUCUUUUUUUUAAUAAGAUUUUUUGCGUAUUGUACUAUUUUAUGGUAUAUGGAUUUAUGAAUAAAAUAAUUUAACCGUUUCCUCUGGACAUAGUUUUUUUAAAUAAAAAUUUUGAUUUAAAACCUGUUUUUUUUAUAAACAUAUUUUGCUACCAUGCACCUUGGACAGAUCUAUCUGAUGCCAUCUCUGAGGCCAUCGCUGAGAUCUCUGAGGCCAUCUCUGACCUACUUCAAGCAUACAAUGUGUCUUUUUUUUUUACUUUU